This 63-nucleotide ribosomal RNA is filed under the name Chlorella sorokiniana. RNAcentral's name for it is "partial 28S ribosomal RNA". It matches the Rfam family "Eukaryotic large subunit ribosomal RNA", at positions 1 to 61 of the family's 3401-position model. Lineage: Eukaryota; Viridiplantae; Chlorophyta; Trebouxiophyceae; Chlorellales; Chlorellaceae. The record is from RNAcentral.
UCGACCUGAGCUCAGGCAAGAUUACCCGCUGAACCUUAAGCAUAUCAAUAAGCGGAGGAAAAG